Molecule: small nuclear RNA, 107 nt
Organism: Prolemur simus (greater bamboo lemur)
Lineage: Eukaryota; Metazoa; Chordata; Mammalia; Primates; Lemuridae
Source: Ensembl
GUGCUGGCUUCGGUAGCACAUAUACUAAAAUUGGAACAAUAUGGAGAAGAUUAGCAUAGCCUCUGUGCAAGGAUGACACACAAGUUUGUGAAGCACUCCAUGUAUAU